Molecule: long non-coding RNA, 1524 nt
Organism: Pogoniulus pusillus (Red-fronted tinkerbird)
Lineage: Eukaryota; Metazoa; Chordata; Aves; Piciformes; Lybiidae
Exons: 3
Source: RefSeq, a predicted model, not a curated record
CCCAGCUCUAAGCUGGGCCCAUUGCGGGCCAAGGGAUCCUCCGCCUGGAGCCCCAGGUUCUGCGGUGGAUGCGAGCAUGGAGCAGGAGCACCAACUGGAGCUGGUAACGGAGCAGCAGCAGCUGGUAAUGGAACUGGUGGAACCUCCUGGAUUCCAGUCGGUGCCCAUUACCACUUGUCCUGUCCCUGGGCACCACUGACAGGAGUCUGGCCCCAGCCUCUUGCCUCCCACAGCUCCUUCAGCCAUUGCUGAGCAUUGCUCAGCUCCCUCUGGGGCUGCUCUCCUGCAGGCUCUCAGCCCCAGGGCUCUCAGCCUUUGCUCCUCCCAGAGCUGCUCCAGGCCUCAGUAUCUUUCUAGCCUCCACUGGACUCUCUCCAGUACUGCCCUGUCCCUCUUCAAAUGGGGAGUCCAGAACUGGUUCCAGAACUCCAGAUGUGGUCUCACUAGGGCUUAGUAGAGGGGGAGGAGAAUUUUGGUGCUUCCUACCCUUGGGAUGAGUGAUAACAGAACAUAGGAGAAGCAGCUCAUGAUGGACCUGUUGGUGAAGACAGGGAGGUGGGAGAUUGGCUGAAUGCCAACAGCAGGGUAGGACGGAGUCUGUGCUUCACUGAAUCUUGUCAGUCAGGUGGGACCAGAGAGGCCUGCAGACACUGAGAGAUGUGAUGCUUUUAUGCCAGCAGCUACUGAGAGGGGACCAGGAAGCUCCUUGACCCAUGUCCUCUCUUGGCUCAGGUGGUGGAAACUCCAUGUGCAAAACCCAUGCUCGAGUUUGGUUUGGUGACUUCAGUGUCUUUGCCAUCUGGCGUUCAAUGGUGCUUGGCAUGCCUGGUCCUGGCUGAGUGCUGACCUUGGGGUUAUCAAUCCAGCACUGUCUUGUGAAGUCACUGCUGAAGCCAGUGGUCAGUGCUGGCACAGGCUGUCCCCAUCCUCCUUGCAGGGGGCCUAGGAGCAGGUCUCCAGAAGAACAUCCUGAAGCACCUGGAGCUGUCAGUGCCCUUCUGGACAGCCAAGCUGUGUGCCAGAGCGUGUCUCUGUCAGGAUUGCACAAUGCCCUCUCUGCAUCUGGCACAGACCCCUCCAGUGGGAAUCUCACCAUCAGUGCUGUGGCAGAGCUGAGCAGUGAGCAGCAGCAGUGCCAGCUCAUGCCUGCGUUGAUGGAGCAGCAGACUGCUGCGGGGGAAAUGUUGACAGAGUCCAGAUGAAACCAAUACAAACAUCUCAGUCUGCCAUCAGCAAGAGGCAAAACAGUCUUGUGGAUGUAGCCAAUGCUUGAAUCAUCUCCUCUCUGUGCCAAGAGAAAGCAGUCCUACCCAAAAAACACCCAAGCCCACAGUGCAAGCAAACCCAGCACCUAUGGUUGUCCAAGGAGAGGGCAGCCUGGUACCACCAAACAACCUGUUUGUUGCAGAACAGUGGCACAGACCUGAGGCUCUGACACCUGGUGAGGUGAUUGUACUGUUUGCUUCCACAUCCCAAGGCAUCAUGACUCACACCAGCUUCACCUGCCUCAAGAAAGCUGAUCCA